Thamnophis elegans (Western terrestrial garter snake) is the source of this 603-nucleotide long non-coding RNA. RefSeq lists it as uncharacterized. The record is from RefSeq and is a predicted model, not a curated record. Lineage: Eukaryota; Metazoa; Chordata; Lepidosauria; Squamata; Natricidae. The transcript has 3 exons.
CCUGCGGCUUGGCGACUUCAGGAUACCGCUAUGUUGCCAUGAAUCAGGGUCAUCAGACUUAUUCUGCCUUCAUCCAGCAAAUGUUUGGUCUCCUGUGUAGCAGCAGUUUCAAUGUCUUCCCUAUUGACCUCAAGCAUCCACUAAGCUCACUGUUCCUGCCCAUCACCUAUCAAUCUCUUUCUACAUUUCAAAUUACAUGCUACCUGCAGAAUAAAGCCGAACUGUAUAACUAAUCCAUAUAAAAUUAAACCCACUGACAAGAAGGUGGCAAAGAAUGAAACAGAGAACAACAUGGAAGAACAAGCAUUACAGGAAUUAAACACGAAUUAAUUUCACUGCUUUUCUCCGUACCAAGUUUAUUUUUACCCAUCAUCUUUUUUCAAUCAUUUUUUACACAUCUUGUAGCUUGUAAAUUCUAGCAUUCUGUGCAAUGCUUUAUUUGGUAAUCUUUAUCUUGUUAUUACUUUAUGUAUUCCAUAGAAUAUAUUAAAUGGAGUAUGAAAACAUGAGUUAGAAUUAGUUGGUCGAGAAAGAGUGCAACAUUAACAAUAGAUAUGAUGAUAAGCAAUUCUAAUAAGGGAACAAAUGAAAACUGGUAUAUAU